AUGUCAGUCGCUCAGUCAAGUCUGACUGUGACCCCAUGGACCAUACCCAGUCAGGCUCUUCUGUCCACGGAAUUCUCCAGUGUAAGCACCAGCCAAGGGACGAUAUGGAGACUGAACUCAGAAGUCAGAGAUGGGCAGACAUGGGAGCAAAAGCCUGAGCUCCACACGUGCAUGUCCAUUUCCACGGACAUGGGUGAGGUGGGGGCGCUGUGUGUGCCCCCCUGGGGGGUAACACCGGCCGUGAACAGUGUCCUGGGAGGUGAGCCAUCUGCACACCAGCGCGUUCUUACGAAACCAUGACCACCUGCUAUUUUUUCCUUACUCUCAUAAAACGUCCAGGUUUGUAACCAAGUUCAGAUUUCCUUUCCACGUGUGCCAUGCGUCCUGACGUUUCAUGUGUCUUUCCUAUUUUGAGUACAGAGGAAGUCCACAGUUUAAAAAUGGAAAGGAGACUUGGCUUCUUCACCUGUGCCUACUUUUAGCAUCAAAACCAUGGCAACAUCAUACACAUAGUUCAUCAUACGUUUUCACAGCAGAUUUAUUCUGCCAGGGACGGCUCUCUGAUCUGCUUAUUUAAAACCAAUGUGAAUUUUAUAUCAAACUUGACUUAACACAUGACAAUGAAAUCCUACACUGUACUGAAAGCUGGAGAGGCCCAUGAGAGGUGAAGAUGCCCCCGACCCAGCUUCUGUGUUCAUCAAGAGCAAUAAGAGUGUACACACCGCCGUGGUCCUAAGUCAGCAAAGAGCAAGGGAUGGGCAGUGUCAGGGGCUGGAACAGAGGCCAGGAAGCAACAUGUCUUCCCACACCAGCCUCGAUGGGUGUGCAAGUAGGAACACCACGUUUCCACAUGUCUUCCAGGGUAAGCAGGGGGUCCACUUCUCCUCCCAUCAAGUGCAGCUGCUGUCACAGAAGGGGUUCACAGGGAGGCGCCCCAACAAUGAGAAAUAGCUGUUCCUGGGGUCUCUGUGAUGACACAGGAAUACAAACCAAAAGGGCAAAACUGGUUCCUCUAGGGGCAUCGGCCUGAAAAGUAGGCUUCACUGCAUGCAUGCCCACAGGCCCCCAAACAGGCACAGUUCUUUAAAACAUGCUUUGCUGCAUUGUGCUAGAAAUUAUCCCUCUAAAAGAUUAUUUCAAGCUGGAGAAGACUCUUGAGAGUCCCUUGGACUCCAAGGAGAUCAAGCCAAUCCAUCCUAAAGAAAACCCUGAAUUUUCUUUGGAAGGACUGACGCUGAAGCUGAAGGUCCAAUCCUUUGGCCGCCUGAUGUGAAGAACUGACUCACUGGAAAGGACCCUGAUGCUGGAAAAGA
RNAcentral lists this long non-coding RNA (1313 nucleotides) under Capra hircus (goat). Its description in RNAcentral is "lncRNA (ENSCHIG00010018900.1)". Lineage: Eukaryota; Metazoa; Chordata; Mammalia; Artiodactyla; Bovidae. The record is from RNAcentral.